GAGUUUGAUCGUGGCUCAGAUUGAACGCUGGCGGCAUGCCUUACACAUGCAAGUCGAACGGCAGCACGGGAGCUUGCUCCUGGUGGCGAGUGGCGAACGGGUGAAUAAUGCAUCGGAACGUAUCCUGGAGUGGGGGAUAACGUAGCGAAAGUUACGCUAAUACCGCAUAUUCUGUGAGCAGGAAAGCGGGGGACCUUCGGGCCUCGCGCUCUUGGAGCGGCCGAUGUCGGAUUAGCUAGUUGGUGAGGUAAAGGCUCACCAAGGCGACGAUCCGUAGCAGGUCUGAGAGGAUGAUCUGCCACACUGGAACUGAGACACGGUCCAGACUCCUACGGGAGGCAGCAGUGGGAAUUUGGACAAUGGGGGCAACCCUGAUCCAGCCAUGCCGCGUGAGUGAAGAAGGCCUCGGU
This 410-nucleotide ribosomal RNA is filed under the name bacterium enrichment culture clone ALO1_GLFRUDD03GSWGK. Its description in RNAcentral is "bacterial SSU rRNA". It matches the Rfam family "Bacterial small subunit ribosomal RNA", at positions 9 to 423 of the family's 1533-position model. The record is from RNAcentral.